AUUUGAGCUCUGAAGGUCAGAAUCAGAGCUGAAGCUUCAGAAAAUAGGACGAAGCAAUUGCCAGGAACUGAAUGCAGGAAACAAGCAGCAGUGUUGGUAUGAACCAGGGAGCUGGAAACCGAGGCAGGAGGAAGCCGAGCCUUCCCUGGUCGAGUGUCCACUUCACAAUAAAUUGCCAAAGCAGAGAUGAAAACACUGCCAGAGGUUAUCUUUUCUCCCCCAGAAUGAUCUAAGACUGGCAUGAUCAACUAUAUGCCACAAACAGAACUCUGCAAAGGGCUUUUUCGUGUACAGAGGAAGGAAGCAAGUUCUAGCAGGGGCAACACUGACAGACAAGCGGGAAGUGAGCUGUGGCGUCCGCUUGCUCCGGCGGUUCUGUACAGUGAGUUCCAUACCCAGCACUGUCAGCAAAACCUUCCAGAGAGCAGACUCCUUACUUCCGACAGCUGCAACAAAGAUAAGCAAUUGCUCUGUGAUAAACGCCGCUGGGUUGCGUCACCCGCCCGGCAAACGGAAACCAGGUCCUCGGCGGCCAUCUAGCUGCAAGGUGAGUCUCAGUCAUGUCAUCUGCUGAGUCGCAAUUGUUUAACAACAAUGAAUUUAGGUCCAUUACGCCCAGCGUCAACUUCAGAAAGAUUUUAUCACGCCUGCUUUUUGUGCAGCUAAGCUGGGAAGUGUGGGCUGUCACAGACUGAAGCAGAAAAGGAAUAAAUUUGCAUGUUACUGGGACGGGAAGAGCCCCUUGAUGGCUGGAGAGGCAGCUGAUGCUGUCAAGUGCGGGCAUGCACCAGGUAUCUGCCCUGGGUGGCUGACAGCCAGCGCUUUUAGAGUCAACAUGGAAUCAAAGAGUUAGGACUAUCUCAAGUAAAGUGUCAAGAACACAGAGAAGCCUGAAUCUUGAUAAGAGGACACCUCGGAGGAGAGAAAUGCACAGAAAGAAAACGACCUUGAGUCUGUAUAAUGUUACAAGAAUCAGAAUCGUAAAACGCCUGAAAUGGAAAGAAAAUGCACAGCUCAAAUAAGAGAUUCAGACUUGAAAAGGUUGGAAGUUGUACGCUUGCCACAAAGGCAGAAGAAAUAGGAACAAUAGGUAACUGCAGGGUUAUGAUGGAGAUAACAUUUCUGUGCUCAAGGCUUACCAUCUGCUAGCUUACCUAGGCCUGUGACUUGAGGCAUCAACACGUGUGUUUUCACUGAGCCCGCCUCUGUGGUGUGAAAUGCAAGACUUUUGAAAUAAUUUUGAAAUACAAAUAUUUUUUAGAAGGAAAAAAAAAUGAUCUGUGGCAAUAAUCAAUUCAAAAAUUUCUAUUUAAAGAAGUAAAUAAAAAUACUGGAAAUGAGACUAAGUGAAAACACAAAUAAUAUAUUUGCUGUUUUGGAAAUUAAGUUUUCAGCAAAGUGUGCACAUAUAUAUAUAUAUUAUAUUAUUAUAAUUAUAUAUUAUAUAAAUAUAUAAUAAUAUAUUUAUUAAUAGGGAGCAAAUGAAUGCUUCUCCUCAAAGGAAGACUGCCUAUUCUGACAACAUUUUAAGUGUUUUGAAUCUCACUUCUCAGUUUCUACUCUUUAUUGUUAUU
Manis javanica (Malayan pangolin) is the source of this 1574-nucleotide non-coding RNA. The record is from RefSeq and is a predicted model, not a curated record. Lineage: Eukaryota; Metazoa; Chordata; Mammalia; Pholidota; Manidae.